This is a long non-coding RNA of Canis lupus familiaris (dog), 1152 nucleotides long. RefSeq lists it as uncharacterized. The transcript is spliced from 7 exons. The record is from RefSeq and is a predicted model, not a curated record. Lineage: Eukaryota; Metazoa; Chordata; Mammalia; Carnivora; Canidae.
CCCAGAGUUCUCUAGGGACAGUUCUAUAGCUUUCAAGGAGCUCUGAGCUCUGUUACUCAAGGACAUGAGGAUCAUGCUAAUCUGCCUAAGGCCUUCAGUGGACAUGGAUUGCAGACAUAUCACAGGAGGAGGUACUUUUGACCUUUCAUGGAGAGCCCAGAGCACCCUAUCUUCACAAAGACAUUAACAACUGAAUUGCCUAACAAGCACCAAUCUCCUCAGAAAGCACUGUCAUAACUGUCCUCUAAAGGCAUGGAGGAAGGAGCCAUCUCAUGUUGCCACUGAAAUGAGUUUCUUGACUUCAGCAGGCAUGCCCAUACCACUGGACUACCAAGGUACAUAGCUGAAGGUGAUGACUUGGAGACUGUCUAGCGAUUGCUGUGCAUUAAUGGGGUGACAGUCAGAGGAAGACGCCUGGGGCAGGAGAGCUUCAGUGUCAGCUGAUUGCUGAGUCAUGGUGGCUUUGCUCCCAAGUGGCAACAGAGAAUAAAAGAACUUUUCAGACUCUCAUCAGGAGAAGUUAAUAACUUUGCUGAAGAAAAGAAGAGCCAAAGGAAGACAGAAUACAGACUUUGGCAAUGUAUGGCUGAUUUUAAGAGACCUUCGGGAUAUCUUGUGAAGAGGAGAUACUAUUUCUAUCCCACAUUGUAUAGUUUCAGUUUUAUGUACAGCACAAGGCAACUGCACAAUGUCAAUCCUUUUUAUUAUGUUUUAUUAAUUAUGUUAAUACUUACAACAUAUUUAAAGAUAAAAAACAAAGGAAUGUAACUGGACCAGAAGUAGCUUAGCUUUUACUUCUGGUCAGAACGUCAGGAAUAAGGAAAAUGAAUGAAAUUAUAAAAAUAUAUGGAAAACAUUGGUAUCAGGUAAACAGAAUGACUUCUUGUUGUUGAAAUAUGUUUAAAGAUACAGGGUCCCUUCCUAUUCCCAUACUCCUUUCUUUCACAAGGUAAAUUGUCAAUUUUUCAUAAGAGGUAGAUCCUCAGGAGACAGAUAAAUAGACCAAUGCUAGAUAAGAGCAAAAAAAAUUUCAGCUUUUCUAAGAACUAAUACUUGAGUUGAAUAGUUUAUUCAGAAAUGCAGUUGCAUUGAAUCAUAAUCUGACAAAAUUAUGGUAAUAGUUAAUCUGAAUACAAAAUGGCCCUAUGUUGU